AAUAGAUACCCAGGUAGUCCACGCCGUAAACGAUGGAUGCUAGCUGUUAUGCGUAUCGACCCGUGUAGUAGCGAAGCUAACGCGUUAAGCAUCCCGCCUGGGGAGUACGAACGCAAGUUUAAAACUCAAAGGAAUUGACGGGGACCCGCACAAGCGGUGGAGCGUGUUCUUUAAUUCGAGGCUAAGCGAAGAACCUUACCAGGGCUUGACAUCCUUGGAAUUUCUCCGAAAGGAGAGAGUACUUUAUUGGACCAAGUGACAGGUGCUGCAUGGCCGUCGUCAGCUCGUGUCGUGAGAUGUUUGGUUAAGUCCAUUAACGAGCGCAACCCUUAUGAAUAGUUGCUAUUUUUCUUAUUCAGACUGCCCCGGGUAACGGGGGAGGGAAGGGGGGGUAGUGAUGUCAGGUCAGUAUUGUCCCUUACCGUCCCGUGGGCUAGAAACGCGCUACAAUGGCCGGUACAAUGCGCUGCCAACCCGGCGGAGGGGGAGCAAAUCGCAUCAAACGCCCGGUCCCGUAGUUCGGAGUAAGAGGCUGAAACUCGCCUCUUUGAAGCCGGAAUCGCUAGU
Molecule: ribosomal RNA, 567 nt
Filed under: uncultured bacterium
Lineage: Bacteria
Description: bacterial SSU rRNA
Rfam family: Bacterial small subunit ribosomal RNA
Source: RNAcentral